CACUUUAGGCGGGAAGAAGAUUAGUAGUUUAAGAGAUGACUAAUUUGACGGUACCCGCAGAAUAAGCACCGGCUAACUCUGUGC
This 84-nucleotide ribosomal RNA is filed under the name uncultured bacterium. Its description in RNAcentral is "partial 16S ribosomal RNA". The record is from RNAcentral.